RNAcentral lists this ribosomal RNA (497 nucleotides) under uncultured bacterium. RNAcentral's name for it is "partial 16S ribosomal RNA". It matches the Rfam family "Bacterial small subunit ribosomal RNA", at positions 28 to 507 of the family's 1533-position model. The record is from RNAcentral.
GAUGAACGCUGGCGGCGUGCCUAAUACAUGCAAGUCGAGCGAACAGAUGAGGAGCUUGCUCCUCUGACGUUAGCGGCGGACGGGUGAGUAACACGUGGAUAACCUACCUAUAAGACUGGGAUAACUUCGGGAAACUGGAGCUAAUACCGGAUAAUAUAUUGAACCGCAUGGUUCAAUAGUGAAAGACGGUUUUGCUGUCACUUAUAGAUGGAUCCGCGCCGCAUUAGCUAGUUGGUAAGGUAACGGCUUACCAAGGCGACGAUGCGUAGCCGACCUGAGAGGGUGAUCGGCCACACUGGAACUGAGACACGGUCCAGACUCCUACGGGAGGCAGCAGUAGGGAAUCUUCCGCAAAGGGCGAAAGCCUGACGGAGCAACGCCGCGUGAGUGAUGAAGGUCUUCGGAUCGUAAAACUCUGUUAUUAGGGAAGAACAAAUGUGUAAGUAACUAUGCACGUCUUGACGGUACCUAAUCAGAAAGCCACGGCUAACUACGUG